This 497-nucleotide ribosomal RNA is filed under the name uncultured bacterium. RNAcentral describes it as "partial 16S ribosomal RNA". It matches the Rfam family "Bacterial small subunit ribosomal RNA", at positions 28 to 507 of the family's 1533-position model. The record is from RNAcentral.
GAUGAACGCUGGCGGCGUGCCUAAUACAUGCAAGUCGAGCGAACGGACGAGAAGCUUGCUUCUCUGAUGUUAGCGGCGGACGGGUGAGUAACACGUGGAUAACCUACCUAUAAGACUGGGAUAACUUCGGGAAACCGGAGCUAAUACCGUAUAAUAUUUUGAACCGCAUGGUUCAAAGGUGAAAGACGGUCUUGCUGUCACUUCUAGAUGGAUCCGCGCUGCAUUAGCUAGUUGGUACGGUAACGGCUUACCAAGGCAACGAUGCAUAGCCGACCUGAGAGGGGGAUCGGCCACACUGGAACUGAGACACGGUCCAGACUCUUACGGGAGGCAGCAGUAGGGAAUCGUCCGCAAUGGGCGAAAGCCUGACGGAGCAACGCCGCGUGAGUGAUGAAGGUCUUCGGAUCGUAAAACUCUGUUAUUAGGGAAGAACAUAUGUGUAAGUAACUGUGCACAGCUUGACGGUACCUAAUCAGAAAGCCACGGCUAACUACGUG